This 66-nucleotide transfer RNA is filed under the name Inocellia digitiformis. RNAcentral's name for it is "tRNA-Asp". The record is from RNAcentral. Lineage: Eukaryota; Metazoa; Arthropoda; Insecta; Raphidioptera; Inocelliidae.
AAAGAAUUAGUUAAAUUAUAACAUUAAUAUGUCAUAUUAAAAUUAUUUUUAUAAAAAUAUUCUUUU